UUAUGUUCAACUUCGUGAUCUCUACGACAAAAUUCGCAUUGGAAUUCUGUUUGUUAAAUUUUGUAUCUUUAUUUAGUUGAGUUUUUUUUUCCCCUCUCAAGUUUCUGUGCUUUUGGUAAAAAUGGAGGCUAAGAUAAGAGGAAAGUCUCAUAAUUUCUAUGGUCCAGUGGUGUCGGAUUUGAAGGCUGUUGGGAAAAAGAGUUUGGAAUGGGACUUAAAUGACUGGAAAUGGGACGGCGAUCUCUUUUCAGCUACUCCAUUGAAUUCCGUACCAUCAGAUUGUAGGAGUAGGCAGUUGUUCCCUGUUGGACCUGAAAUUCCAGCUAAUGGAGGGUUAUUCAACGGUUCAGCUUCUUGUUCUGAUAAUAAUGACUUGGGAUUAGAGAAAGAAAAGAGAGAAUUGGAGAAGAGAAGGAGGGUCGUUCUUGUUGAAGAUGAAGAUUUUACUGACGAGGCUGCUGGGUCCCUUAAUUUGAAGCUUGGUGGUCAAGCCUAUCCAAUCCUGGAUGAAGAUGCCAAAAGUGGAAAGAAGACAAAAUUUACUGGGACUGCUUCAAAUCGUGCGGUCUGUCAGGUGGAGGAUUGUAGGGCUGACCUCACCAAUGCCAAGGAUUAUCACCGACGGCAUAAGGUUUGCGAUAUGCAUUCCAAGGCCAGUAAAGCACUGGUGGGAAAUGUUAUGCAGAGGUUUUGCCAGCAAUGUAGCAGGUUUCAUGUUCUUCAAGAGUUUGAUGAAGGGAAAAGAAGCUGUCGUCGGCGUUUGGCUGGCCAUAACAAGCGGAGGAGGAAGACACAUCCUGAAAAUGUAGUCAGUGGAGGUUCCUUGAAUGAUGAAAACGGUAGUGGCUACCUAUUGAUAAGUCUACUUAGAAUUCUUUCCAAUUUGCAUUCAAAUAGCUCUGAUCAAACAAAGGAUCAGGAUCUUCUUUCUCAUCUAUUAAGGAACCUGGCCAAUAUUGCUGGUACAACUAGUGGAAGGAGCAUAUCUGGAUUGUUGCAAGAAUCUCAAGGUCGGGUAAAUGCUGGAACUACUUUUGGGGCUCUUGAAAAAGUGCCAGAUAUGAUUACAAAUGGUUCUGAAUCUACCAGGCCUUCUACUUCAGCUUCUAAGAAAGAUGAUUGCACUAAUUCUCAGGACAUUAUGAGGCCUUUGGGCCAAUGUGGGACUGUACCUGUUUCUGAUUUGGCGCAGAAAAGAAUAUUCAACAAUGAUUUCCAGGGUGAAACUCCACAAGCCAUAUCAUGUUUGCAGUCCACAGCAUUGUUCCCGUUAAGAUGCAACCUUCCAACCAAAGUAAAUGAACCAGCAGAUGUAGUUGGGAGAAUCAAGUACAAUAACAUUGACUUGAAUAAUGUUUAUGAUGGUUCGCAAGACUGUACAGGGAACCUAGAUAUGUCUGUUGCCCCUGUAAAUCCAGUGACAGGGUCUGUCAAUUGCCCUUUAUGGGUACAGUCAGACUUCCAUAAAAAAAGUCCACCACAGAUGAGUGGAAACUCAGAUUCAACGUCUUCCCAGUCACCAUCGAGUUCCAAUGGAGAGGCACAGAGUCGCACGGAUCGAAUUGUUUUUAAACUCUUUGGAAAAGACCCAAAUGAUUUUCCUGUUGCUCUGCGUACACAGAUCCUUGAUUGGUUAUCUCACAGUCCCACUGACAUUGAGAGCUAUAUAAGGCCUGGCUGUAUCAUAUUAACAAUAUAUCUUCGCCUGGGAAAGCCUCAAUGGGAGGAGAUCUGCCUUAAUUUGGGCACCAGUUUGAGUAAGCUUCUUAAUGCAUCUACUGACUCUUUUUGGAGAUCGGGAUGGGUUUAUGCUAGGGUGCGGCAUUGUCUAUCCUUUGUUUACAAUGGUCAAGUUGUUUUAGACACGCCCUUACCUCUAAAGAGCCAUAAAAAUUGCAGGAUCUUAAGCAUCAAACCUGUUGCAGUGUCUUUAUCUGAGGGAACUCAUUUUGUAGUCAAGGGUGUCAACAUUUCUCGACCUACCACUAGGUUGCUGUGUGCUCUAGAAGGAAAAUAUCUGGUCCAGGAAAAUUCUUGUGACUUAAUGGAUGGUGCAGAUGCAAACAAUGAUCAUGAGAAGAUUCAAUGCCUUGGCUUUCCUUGCUCUAUACCAAACAUAACUGGAAGAGGCUUCAUUGAGGUGGAGGAUCAUGGCCUUAGCAGCAGCUUCUUUCCAUUUAUAGUUGCUGAGCAAGAAGUGUGUUCGGAGAUCCGUGUGCUGGAGGAAGCAAUUGAGGUCAUUGAGACUGUUGAUGACUUUCGUAAAAAUGCUGAGAGCAUAGAAGCCAAGAAUCAAGCACUAGACUUUAUACAUGAAAUGGGUUGGCUUCUACAUAGAAGUCAGUUGAAGUUUAGGCUAGGUCACUUGGAUCCCAACUCAGAUCUCUUCCCUUUGAAACGGUGCAAGUGGCUUAUAGAAUUCUCAAUCAAUCAUGAUUGGUGUGCUGUGGUGAAGAAACUCCUGGUCAUUCUGUUUGAUGGAACAGUAGAUACGGGGGAACAUUCAUCAAUUGAGCUUGCAUUGUUAGAUAUGAAUCUGCUUCAUCAAGCUGUGCGGAGAAAUUGCAGACCUAUGGUGGAAUUACUACUAAAAUUUGUCCCAGAUAAACAAUUUGGUAGACGAGGACCAGAGCAAAAGCAUGGUGUGGAUGGGGAAAAUAACAACUUCAUAUUUAAGCCUGAUGUUGUUGGGCCAGCUGGGUUGACUCCUCUCCAUGUUGCAGCUAGUAAAGAUGGCUCUGAGAAUGUCUUGGAUGCCUUGACGGAUGAUCCUGGAUCGGUGGGAAUUGAGGCAUGGAGAACAGCUCGUGACAGUACAGGUUUGACACCUAACGAUUAUGCAUGCCUGCGAGGCUACUACUCUUACAUCCAUCUAGUCCAGAGGAAAAUCAAUAAGAAAUCAGAAAAUGGGUAUGUAGUGCUUGAUAUCCCUAAAGCCCUCUUAGAUUGCAACACUAAGCAGAAAGAUGAGCUCAAAUCAUCGAAAAUUGCUGGCUUGGAAAUUGGGAAGAUCAAGAUGAACACGAUGCAGCAGCAUUGCAAGUUAUGCGAACUGAAGCUGGCUUGUGGCCAAACAAGAACUUCAUUGGUGUACAGGCCGGCAAUGCUGUCAAUGGUUGCCAUUGCAGCUGUUUGUGUGUGUGUGGCUCUGCUCUUCAAGAGCUCUCCUGAAGUUCUAUAUGUGUUCCAGCCCUUCAGGUGGGAGUUGCUCAAGUAUGGGUCAAGCUGAGAUGGAUCUGUGUACUAAAUUUCCCAGCACUAGGCUAGGUUGGACCUUUUUUUAUUUUAUUCUUCUUUCAUUUUUCCCAGGAAAAUAACGUAGAAGUCCUGAUGAUGUGUAUAUGCAUUAAAAAUAGUUAAUUUAUAUUAGUAGUAUGGUAGGAAAUAUUAUACUGCUAAGUUGUGUAAUAAAUUUCUUUUAACUUUUU
Molecule: unclassified non-coding RNA, 3428 nt
Filed under: Hevea brasiliensis (rubber tree)
Lineage: Eukaryota; Viridiplantae; Streptophyta; Magnoliopsida; Malpighiales; Euphorbiaceae
Source: RNAcentral